RNAcentral lists this ribosomal RNA (368 nucleotides) under Lecidella effugiens. RNAcentral describes it as "SSU rRNA". It matches the Rfam family "Bacterial small subunit ribosomal RNA", at positions 348 to 726 of the family's 1533-position model. The record is from RNAcentral. Lineage: Eukaryota; Fungi; Ascomycota; Lecanoromycetes; Lecanorales; Lecanoraceae.
GCAGUUGAGGGAAUAUUGGUCAAUAGCCUAACGGCUGAACCAGCAACUUGGAGGAAUGUAUAGCAAUAGCUAAUUGCACCAGAUAAUAACUGAUGCAAUAUCGACUCUGUUGAAUAAAAUUCUAGGUAGAAUUAUGAUAAUGACAUUAUCUGCCUACAUGUCUUGACCAAAUUACGUGCCAGCAGUCGCGGUAAUACGUAGAAGACUAGUGUUAUUCAUCUUUAAUAGGUUUAAAGGGUACCUAGACGGUAAAUCAAGCCUGCGAGGGGACUAGUUUACUAGAGUUACUUGUGAGGGGGUAUUAAAGUACUAAUGGUGUAGAGAUGAAAUUCUGUCAUACCUCUUUUCGGAAGAAAAACUAUGGCACU